UGAGGAAGUUUAGACAAUGGGCGCAAGCCUGAUCCAGCCAUGCCGCGUGGAUGAUGAAGGCCUUAGGGUUGUAAAAUCCUUUCGUUGGGGACGAUAAUGACGGUACCCAAAGAAGAAGCUCCGGCCAACUUCGUGCCAGCAGCCGCGGUAAUACGAAGGGGGCUAGCGUUGUUCGGAUUUACUGGGCGUAAAGCGCGUGUAGGCGGACUUGUAAGUUGGGGGUGAAAUCCCGAGGCUCAACCUCGGAACUGCCUCCAAAACUACAAAUCUGGACCUAAGUAGAGGCAAGUGGAAUUGCGAGUGUAGAGGUGAAAUUCGUAGAUAUUCGCAGGAACACCAGUGGCGAAGGCGACUUGCUGGACUUAUGGUGACGCUGAGACGCGAAAGCGUGGGGAGCAAACAGGAUUAGAUACCCAAGUAGUCCCUGAGCGGGCUGGCAAGGCGCAU
Molecule: ribosomal RNA, 447 nt
Filed under: uncultured bacterium
Lineage: Bacteria
Description: bacterial SSU rRNA
Rfam family: Bacterial small subunit ribosomal RNA
Source: RNAcentral